This 111-nucleotide ribosomal RNA is filed under the name Bacillus subtilis subsp. subtilis str. BSP1. Lineage: Bacteria; Bacillati; Bacillota; Bacilli; Caryophanales; Bacillaceae. The record is from RNAcentral.
CUGAAUUCUCUGAUACCCAGCUGGAUCAAAUGUUGACCUUCAAUGAUCUCUUCAUCCAAAAGGCGGCGGAAGGGGGUGCCGUUUGUCGGCCCCCCGUCCUCCGUAUUGCGA